UCUCCGUAGGUGAACCUGCGGAAGGAUCAUUAAGGAGUGAGAGUCUUCCAGGGCCGACCUCCCAACCCUUUGGUUGUAGAACCUCUGUUGCUUCGGCGGACCCGCCGCGCGGCCGCCGGAGGACAGCUGCAAAGCGUCCUCAGGCCAGCGUCCGCCGAUCGCAAACCACAUAAACUCUUAAUGAAUCCUGGCAUAUGUCUAAGUCUAAGAUUAUAUUAGAGCAAAACUUUCAACAACGGAUCUCUUGGUUCUG
RNAcentral lists this unclassified non-coding RNA (253 nucleotides) under plant metagenome. Its description in RNAcentral is "partial contains small subunit ribosomal RNA, internal transcribed spacer 1, and 5.8S ribosomal RNA". The record is from RNAcentral.